GGGAUUACUCUUUAGGCAGUGGUGUAGUCCACGUGAUACAAAGGUAUACACAGUAUACCCAAUAAGAAAGCUCCAGGAUUUUCCAAAUACCCA
Etheostoma spectabile (orangethroat darter) is the source of this 93-nucleotide long non-coding RNA. RefSeq lists it as uncharacterized. The transcript has 3 exons. NCBI's taxonomy places the organism in Eukaryota, Metazoa, Chordata, Actinopteri, Perciformes, Percidae. The record is from RefSeq and is a predicted model, not a curated record.